Molecule: long non-coding RNA, 639 nt
Organism: Wasmannia auropunctata (little fire ant)
Lineage: Eukaryota; Metazoa; Arthropoda; Insecta; Hymenoptera; Formicidae
Exons: 2
Source: RefSeq, a predicted model, not a curated record
CGUCAUUUCUUCCUUCCCCCCUAAUCUCUUCCGGAGGAAGAACCGGUGCUGGAAGGGCGCAUGUAGAAGCACGUCGGAGCACGUCGUUGGAAGAGGAGCUAGAACGGCGGAGAAGGCGGGGAGUCUCCUCGGAGUUUCGUUGUCACGUAAUUCUCAAUCGUUGCUUCGUCGACCUGACCGCGAUCGCUCUUUCCAGGCCAGGAGGAAAACGGACAAGGGAAACGUAAAAUGAGACACCAGAAGAGCGAUAAACGGGAUUCCACGGUCAGGAUUGUGUUCGUAAUUUAUUUAACCAUCAGGAGGAGGAGGAGGAGGAGGGUUUAGCAGAUUGACGGGAGAUUCGAUAGAAGUAGCGAGGAGCGAUAGGACGGUUCAUGCCGGCAGGUUCGUGCGCAGGGGAGUCGUUCCACGAUUAUGUUAAAUAAUCGUAUUCCACGAUCGCGAUUACUUGUCUCGGGAAGAAAUCAGCGUCCGCGAAAACAUAGGCGUAUCCUCUACGCCUGGGAGAUGUGAUUGAAAUGCCAGAGACGAAAGAUAACGAGCUGAGAAUUCACGCCAGGAUAAAUAAAGCACCGUUUCAUUCGCCUCAGCUGAAUCGCAUUCGCGACCGCGCUCGUCUUGGGAAGAAGCCGGUAUCUA